CCAUAGUGAUAGAAUCAAAUGGGUAAGGGCCACGUGGCCCAUAAGGGAUCUGAGCGAACGGAAUGGUUUCUCUGACCCAAACUCGAUUCUGAUAAUCUUGCAACAUCCAAAUGUCCAUUUUGUUUGUUGGGUUCAUGGCCCAGGGAUCGUAACAAGCUACACCUAAUAAGCCAUUGAUUUUUAAGAACUGUGCAUUCGGUAUGGAUGUUAAUAUAGUAUCGGGAGCCGCCUCUGGAUGCAUGUUAACAAUGGAAAACGUUUCAGUUGUUAAAUCAAAUGCCAAAAUUUGAAGUGGAUUUCGAAGCAACAGAUAUGUAUGGUGCUAUUGACACAAACACUAUACGAAACAACGCCAGGCACUGAUACCAAGAGGAAGAUCGACCUCGAUCUUUCUCCAUGAGUAAUUUGAGAAGGAGAAAAUCAUAAUCUCAAUUGUA
Molecule: long non-coding RNA, 437 nt
Filed under: Helianthus annuus (common sunflower)
Lineage: Eukaryota; Viridiplantae; Streptophyta; Magnoliopsida; Asterales; Asteraceae
Description: sRNA HanXRQr2_Chr05g0214191
Source: RNAcentral